Molecule: non-coding RNA, 64 nt
Filed under: unclassified sequences
Description: pemK RNA
Rfam family: pemK RNA
Source: RNAcentral
ACAAAGAUACUUCCGUAACUCGCGGCCCGGCCAUGAUGAAGGCGGGGGGAUGAAAUUUCCAUGG